GUGUAAGCACUCCAAAGGAAAAAGGGCAGGGGAGGGGAUGGGGAGUGGCCUGGCUGGCAGCGCUGCUGCACCUGGGGUGGUCGGAGUUGGACAGAGUGCUGGAGGAGGUAGGGAGGCCCCAGAGAAAGGGCACCUGAGAGGGCAAAGAGCAAGCGCAAAGCCCCAGGAUUGCAGUUUGGAAUGUGCCAAGGGCAGGAGGAAGUCUGAGGCUGGAGAGGAGGGAGGAAGGAGGUGGACUGGGAAAUGGGCUCAGAGCAGGUGCAGGCCUGGACCACAGGGCGGUGGCAAGGCUCAGACCUGCUGUGCAGGGCUCAGUGUGGGGUCUCGAGGACACAAAGGCUGCACAGCCAGGGGCAAUGCAGAGACUGAGGCUGUAGGAUACUGAGGCUGUCAUCCAGGGUCAAGCCCAAGAGAGAGCAACCUCGGGGCUUGCAAGCAGGCAGAUGGAAGGUAGAAAAGGCAACCCCAUGUCCUCCUGCUCUGUUGUCCGAGCGGGGGGCUUCCAGGUUGAAGAAAAGGAUGUGUGCAUGGCCAGCUGCCUGGGUUUGGUGGUGGUCCCAAAUCUGUGUGUCGGGAGCCCUGUGGGUGUCUGUGGGCCUCUGGCAGUAGCCUGAGUCAGAGAUUGGUGUAUCCCCAUGUGAUGUGGAGGGCUGGUGUCUCUUGGUCCCUGCCAGCCGAGCAAGAGGCUGAUGCAGCGAAUGUUCUGGGCAUGCUAUAUCAUUUCUCUGGGUGUGCAUGAGUGAGCCUGUGUUGGCUCCGUGGGCCUGUAUGUGCCAGGAGCGUGUAGACCUGAAGGUCUGUACAUGAGUCAAGGGUGAGAGGCCUGUGUGUUUCCUUGUGCGUCUGUGGGUUCCUGCUUGUCUGUAGUGGGCAGCAGUGAGGGGUGUCUUUGACUUUGGCCUGUCAUUGUCUGUUUCAUGCUCACUUGACAUUCCACAGCUCAGCUCUAGUUCUUGGAACGAAUGGAAACAGCACCCAGGACCCAGUAGGACUGGCCUGUGCUUCUUGGGUACUUGGGUUCAGGGUCUCCUCCCCAAGGGUCUCUGACAGCUGAGGUAGGGACGACUCACCGUCCUGGUCCCCAAAUGCAGUGCUUUAAAUCAGAGACCCUUUCUUCAGGCCGCAAGGCUGGACCAGGGCUCUCACUACCCGGGUGGGAAGACUGUAUGAUGUUUGGGCCUUGCCAGCCCCAAGGAAGGGUCAGAUCUCUAAACCUGGGGGCCUCCUGGGAAAGCCAGGACUCCAGCACUGUGGAAAGAGCAUGGAGGUAGAAGUCAAAAGGACCUGGGUUCAAAUCCCACUUUUGCCCAGGCAUAGGGGCUCAUGCCUGUAAUCCAAGCACUUUGGAAGGCUGAGGCAGGUGAAUCACUAGAGUCCGGAAAUUUGAGACCAGCAUGAGCAACCUGGAGAAACCUUGUCUCUACUAAAAAAAAAAAAAAAAAAAAAAAAAACCAGCUGCGCAUGGUGGCAUGCAUCUGUAGUCCCAGCUACUCAGGAGACUGAGGUGGGAAGAUCACUUGAGCCUGGAAAGUCAAGGCUGUAGUGAGCUGUGAUUGCACCACUGUACUCCAGCCUCGGCCACAGAAUGAGACCCUGUCUUACAAAAACCAACAAACAAACAAACAAAAAUCUCACUUUGUCAUUUCCUAGUUCAAAAACCUUAGUCAAAUGGCUGCUCCGUUUCCUUAUCUGUAGAGGCGGGACCGGCGUCUUGGGCCUACUGUGGAGAUUAAAUGAGCACUGAGUAUGUGCCCAGCCCUGGGCUAAGAGCUUUACACGAACAACCCCAUGGGCUUCUCACAAUAACUCUCUGGAAUGGGUACAGGCCCCAUUUUGCAGAAGAGGAAACUGAGGCCCAGAGAGGUGGCAUGACUUGCCCAUGGUCACUCAGCUGGGAACUAGUAGAGCCAGGAUUUGAACCAGGCAGUCUGACUUCAAAAGCAGCAGCAUGAGCCACUGCGCCCGGCGGAAGCUGGGGUUUUAACCUGGGUCCAGAGCUGGAGCUGGCCUCUGGGCCUAUUUGACUCUCCUGUGCUCCGACAUCCCAGCAGACCCAAGGAAGGGGCAGUCUGUCCUGCCCCUACCCACCCCUUCUCCCUUUCUACUGCCUACUCUUGGGAGCCUGUAUGAGGGGCUGAGGUGAGCAUGAACAGGUCAGCCUCUGAGACAAAGGAGGCCUGAUUGGCAAGAGAAGUAAGGCCUUUGCUGUCAGCAGGCCUGGGUUUUAGUCCCCACACUGCCCCUCACUGGGCUGUGUGACCCUCGGUCAGAUUCUUCCUUUUUCUCUGAUUGUCAGUUUCUUCAUUUGUCAAAUACCCACCCUCCUUGAGAGUGUCAUUUUAUUCCCAUUUUACAGUUGGCCCAGAGAAGGGAAGCAAGACAGUGGCA
RNAcentral lists this long non-coding RNA (2388 nucleotides) under Pan troglodytes (chimpanzee). RNAcentral describes it as "long non-coding RNA NONPTRT000142". Lineage: Eukaryota; Metazoa; Chordata; Mammalia; Primates; Hominidae. The record is from RNAcentral.